UACGUCAUAAAGGACAGUGGCCAUAUC
This 27-nucleotide non-coding RNA is filed under the name Bombyx mori (domestic silkworm). The record is from RNAcentral. Lineage: Eukaryota; Metazoa; Arthropoda; Insecta; Lepidoptera; Bombycidae.